CCGUGUUCUUGUGUUUUGGAACCCCACCUUCCGAACGGAGCCUCAGUGAUAAUUAUUGUAAGGAGGUAGCUGCUGUUGUGCACAUUUUUGGAGCCGUGGCGAUCCAACGCCGAGUUUCCACGGAAGGAGGGAUGCAAGAGAGAAAAGAUAGCAUGAACCAUUCGAACAAAAAUAGGUAUCGAGGAAAGAAAGGAACCAUUUAUUUUCCUUUUGAUCUUUGAUGGUGAAGUUUUUGCAUAUAAUUUGUUGGUGGGAGUUUCCUA
Molecule: long non-coding RNA, 263 nt
Organism: Lolium rigidum
Lineage: Eukaryota; Viridiplantae; Streptophyta; Magnoliopsida; Poales; Poaceae
Exons: 3
Source: RefSeq, a predicted model, not a curated record